GUUUUUAGAUGCCUACAUGGAGGAUUGCAUGGUAAGAGCUCACAUCAAGAAUGGAGUCGUAAAGGAUGAAAAAACAAAAAUUAAUCAAUUCGACUUAUAGUAAACUAGCUGACCCGGUGAACUUCGCACCGCCUAACAGUCAAUGAAUGUCGUGUUACUUUUUAGCUGAAAUAAUUUAGGCUUUGAUGAACGUAAAACAAUGAUACAAAAUAAUAUGUUUAUAUAGAUAGAGACAAAAAAAGUACCUACUUAAUAGCGCGUGAUUUCAUCGUUGGUAUUGGAUGUUUGGAUACCAAAAACCACCAUGUCGCUCCCUUUCGUGACAUAUUUGCAAAUGCAUUUAAUUGACUUGACCGAAUUGCAAUCACUUGGCAUGCGCUCUAAAGCAGUCUUGAACAUCCUGACCAAUGCAUGAUGUUCAUGAAGCAUUUGCUGUAGAUAUUGGACAAUUGCUCUCUUCGUAGCUGUGUUGACGCCUGUCAAGUUGUUCUUCCAUAUUGCCCAUAUUGCAAGAAUUUAUGCUGUGCAUCUUCUAUAGGUUGCAAUGAUCCAAUGCGAUGGUAAUAGGAUUUUCAUUCAAGCACUUUGUGGUAAACGACAUUUUUUGUUUUUUGGUCAGGCGCAAGAACAAAUAAAGCGGAUGGUUUGCCGACACGUGACAAUGUCACGUACAAUUGAACAUGAGAAAAACAUUCAUUUUCUAGAUUGAGGCCACAAAUAGUCAAGGAUGGGCCCUGUGAUUUGUUGCUCGUCAUGGCGAAGGCAAUACGAAUCGGGAAUUGAAUUCUCAAAAGGGCAUAUCCGUUGGUAUCAUCGGAAUCCUUGGAAUAAGAUCUUAAUAAUCUUUAAAUUUUCAUUGCUCAUGAGUUUUCUUAUCACCAAACGCGUUCCAUUGCAUAGUUUUGGUUGGUUUAAAUUUCUAAGCAUGCUGACUACCGAGCCAACUUUAAGUUUUAAAUUGUGCGGUGGUAAACCAGGCACAUCCAAGGAGUUUAAAAAUUCAGUUGGAUAAUAUGUGGCUUCUUCUUCGUUUGUUACACAGCCGAUAGAUUUGAAUGAAUAUGGAGUACCUACGAUUUGAUUUUGAAUUAUAAGAUUGAGGUCAUCUACAUCUUUAUUUUUGCAAUGAUAUCCGGGAAUACGUUGUUGAUAAGCUCUUUUGAUGAUACGAAAUUGCAAAAAUUUGGUGGAAAUUAAAUCAAACCGCUCGAUUUGUCAACAGGAACACGGCCAUUACCGAUAGUCAGCAAUUGCUUCGAGAAAUCAUCGGCAGAUAGAUCGUUCAACAAUGAAACUCUCAUAUUUACAGGCAGUUGAAGUUUCUUUACAUAUCGCCACAGAUUUGAUGCUUUGAGGCAAGCGUUUAUUUCGUCUGCAGCCGUAGAUCUUGGAAUGACUGGUAGUGUUUGUCGGAAAUCGCCAGAUAAUAAAAUCAUUGCACCACCAAAACAUCUCAAGUCAUUGCGCAGAUCUUUAAAUGUUCGGUCUAGUGCUUCCAAUGCGCGUUUGUGAGCCAUUGUGCAGUCGUCCCAUAUGAUGAUUUUUGAUGCUACUAAAACUUUGGCCAUUGCGGAGUUUUUCGAAAUGUUACAUGUCGGUUGUUCAGUAGUUUGAAGGUUUAUUGGCAAUUUUAACGCUGAGUGAGCCGAACGGCAUCCGUCUAACAAUGUGACCGCUAUUACAGAAGAAGCAAUUGCUACCGCAAUUUCGGAUCUCGCACGUACAGUGGCCAAAAUCAAUGACAUGGGGAAUGUCUUCCCAGUUCCACCGGGGGAACCACCAUUUCCAUCAUCAAUUGCAUUAAUCAGUGUAUCAUAGACUUCCCUCUGCUUAGGAUUCAACAGAGGUACAUUCGUUUGAACUGAUUGGAUUAGUUCAUGUGGAUCAUAUUCAUGUUCACGUUCCAAUUCUCUAUUAAAUGCGUCAUUCAUUCCGCGAUCUGGUGCUGGCAUUCCUAACCUAACUAACAAACUGCCGCACAUGAGGUAACACAUAUCUUCGAUCAAGAACAAAGUCUGGUUAUGGAUCUCCUCAUUCACCUCAAAAUCGUAAUUUCUUGAGCUGACGCGAUUUCGAUGUAAAAUAUCUUCGGACAUGUUAUCUUUGUAUUUGUUCCACAGGUCAAGUGGGUUCGAUGGGAAGCAUGUUGAAAUGAUGAUAGCAAAUAAUGUGCGUAUCUGACUUGGAGAUGCAGAAAUAAUUACUUCAGCGAUUGUCGUGUCCCAAUGAGUAUCGUUUUCAAGCAAAUUUAGCUCUUGACUUGCUGCACGAAAUGUGGGGCACACGAUACCAUUAACAGUUCGCAGUGAUUCAAAUGAUGUUGGCCCUCGAACAUGUACCAGCAACAACCGCAAAUAGAAACAUUCAUCAUUCUUCGGAUGAACUGUGUAAAUACGACCAAGAGCAUCAGUAGAACGCAUAUCUGUCGAUGGUGCAAUCAUACAGAAACGCUGCUCGAUUCAAACCAUUUCUUCUUGCACUUCAAAGAUUAUUCAUCUUUUCUUCUGUACGAUAAGAUCGACGAUUUCUCUCUCUCUGCUCUUGUGUUUGAGAAGCACGAAUUAAGGCCCUUCUUUGCUCCAUAUUAACGCGGCGCUGUUCUCGUGCAAUUUCAGAUAAUUGACUCGUGAUAUUCCGUUGCCUAAUUGCAUUACGGCUUCGCUCGUAAAGAUUGGAUCUUAUAG
This 2684-nucleotide long non-coding RNA is filed under the name Drosophila guanche. The record is from RNAcentral. Lineage: Eukaryota; Metazoa; Arthropoda; Insecta; Diptera; Drosophilidae.